UGAGAGAGUGGGAGAAGUUGAUUCUCCAAGGUGACUUCCAGCUUUAAAUAUUUCUGCAUACAGGUCCGUUUAUUAAAAUGGGCCAUUGUGAACACUCUCGUGAAAGAGAAUAGCCUGAUAUGAAUUAUAUAAAGAGAAAUGAGAAAAAUAGAAAAGAUGAAUAAAGGAUCAAUGCACUGAUUCAAAUAAUGAAAAGUAAGUACCACUGAAAGGGGCUUUAAUAUAAAGGAGAGAAUGCCAAAGGUAAUUUAUGGUUUUUGUAUGCAUGAACUGACAUUCACAUGUACUAUUGAUAUAGGUAUGCAGAUGUAGAAAUCUUUAUCUUUUCUUUUUAUUACAGUCAGAGUGACUCUACACACUUCCUGCUUCCACGUUUAGCAUCCCCAAGUGAAGAGAUAUGAAGAGUGUUCAAAAGAUGCUACAAAAUGUUUAGUUUUCAACUCUCCAGAGGAAGCUGACAUGGCAACACUCUGUUAUUUGAAGAUUUGAGUUUUCCUACUACAAGGAAGAAGUUGUAACUUCUGACUUAGUAUGAGGUUCAAGCCAGAUGGAUCAUGUGAUGCAGUCUUGUCAAUGAAAACAGGAAGACAUUUCUCAAGAUUAGAAUGGUCCUGGAACAAAAAAUUGCCUUACCAAGUAAUCAGUGCCUACUAUUGGAUGUA
RNAcentral lists this long non-coding RNA (662 nucleotides) under Homo sapiens (human). Its description in RNAcentral is "HSALNT0369374". The record is from RNAcentral. Lineage: Eukaryota; Metazoa; Chordata; Mammalia; Primates; Hominidae.